Molecule: long non-coding RNA, 383 nt
Filed under: Urocitellus parryii (Arctic ground squirrel)
Lineage: Eukaryota; Metazoa; Chordata; Mammalia; Rodentia; Sciuridae
Description: lncRNA (ENSUPAG00010016547.1)
Source: RNAcentral
GCCUUGGAAAGAUGCCAAGACCCUCUCCAACCCUCAAGGCACCCAUAGGUCCGUGGGCACUGCAGAGCUUGCUUCAGAGCCUCAGGAUGGCCCACGUGCCCAGUCUCGUCUGAGGGUGGGGGUGCAGUGACGACAGAUGGGCGUGACUGCUACCAGAUUCCUGAGGCCCGCCCUGCAGUGGGACUACGCCCAGCCAGGGAGUCUCCAGAGCACCUCAGUGACUUAGAAGAAAGCCRGUUCAGGUCUGGAACUGAACACAAAAGAGAAGCGGGAAGGGUGGGCUGGCCCAGCCCAGAGUGCUUCAUUCCUGGGGGAUUUCCAGCUCUGGGGUGGGACUGCAGAGAGAGCACUGGACGAAAAUCGGGAGGUAGGUCUCUCUCUUA